CUACGGGGUGCACCAGUGGGGAAUAUUGGACAAUGGGGGAAACCCUGAUCCAGCAAUGCCGCGUGUGUGAAGAAGGCCUGCGGGUUGUAAAGCACUUUCGGUUGGGAGGACUGCUUCUAGCACUAAUAUUGUUGGAAGUUGACGUUACCUUCAGAAGAAGCACCGGCUAACUCCGUGCCAGCAGCCGCGGUACUACGGAGGGUGCAAGCGUUAAUCGGAAUUACUGGGCGUAAAGCGCGCGUAGGCGGCUAGAUCAGUCGGGUGUGAAAGCCCCGGGCUUAACCUGGGAACUGCAUCCGAUACUGCCUAGCUUGAGUACAGGAGAGGAGAGUGGAAUUCCACAUGUAGCGGUGAAAUGCGUAGAUAUGUGGAGGAACACCAAUGGCGAAGGCAGCUCUCUGGCCUGAUACUGACGCUGAGGUGCGAAAGCGUGGGGAGCAAACAGGAUUAGAUACCCUCGUAGUC
Molecule: ribosomal RNA, 465 nt
Filed under: uncultured bacterium
Lineage: Bacteria
Description: partial 16S ribosomal RNA
Rfam family: Bacterial small subunit ribosomal RNA
Source: RNAcentral